This 418-nucleotide ribosomal RNA is filed under the name uncultured bacterium. Its description in RNAcentral is "bacterial SSU rRNA". It matches the Rfam family "Bacterial small subunit ribosomal RNA", at positions 1 to 428 of the family's 1533-position model. The record is from RNAcentral.
UGAGUUUGAUCCUGGCUCAGGAUAAACGCUGGCGGCGUGCCUUACGCAUGCAAGUCGAACGAAGCCCGGCCUUCGGGUCGGUGACUGAGUGGCAAACGGCUGAGUAACGCGUAGGUGAUCUGUCCCGAGGAGGGGAACAACUCGUGGAAACGCGAGCUAAUGCCCCAUACGCCCACCGGUUCAGCCCGGUGGGGAAAUGUUCCGGCGCCUUGGGAGGAGCCUGCGUCCGAUUAGCUAGUUGGUGGGGUAACGGCCUACCAAGGCAGCGAUCGGUAGCUGGUCUGAGAGGAUGAUCAGCCAGACUGGGACUGAGACACGGCCCAGACUCCUACGGGAGGCAGCAGCGAGGAAUCUUGCACAAUGGGCGAAAGCCUGAUGCAGCAACGCCGCGUGGGUGAUGAAGGCCUUAGGGUUGUAA